Molecule: ribosomal RNA, 402 nt
Filed under: uncultured prokaryote
Description: bacterial SSU rRNA
Rfam family: Bacterial small subunit ribosomal RNA
Source: RNAcentral
UGGGGAAUCUUAGACAAUGGGGGAAACCCUGAUCUAGCCAUGCCGCGUGAUCGAUGAAGGCCUUAGGGUUGUAAAGAUCUUUCAGUGGGGAAGAUAAUGACUGUACCCACAGAAGAAGCCCCGGCUAACUCCGUGCCAGCAGCCGCGGUAAUACGGAGGGGGCUAGCGUUGUUCGGAAUUACUGGGCGUAAAGCGCACGUAGGCGGAUCAGAAAGUCAGAGGUGAAAUCCCAGGGCUCAACCUUGGAACGGCCUUUGAAACUCCUGAUCUUGAGGUCGAGAGAGGUGAGUGGAAUUCCGAGUGUAGAGGUGAAAUUCGUAGAUAUUCGGAGGAACACCAGUGGCGAAGGCGGCUCACUGGCUCGAUACUGACGCUGAGGUGCGAAAGCGUGGGGAGCAAACA